CCUUCCCAUGGUGCCGCGGGAGCGGCGGCCGCAGCGGCCGCGACUUCAUCCGGGUCCCGCAAGUACCGGGACGGCGGGGCCGGGCGGUGGCCGCGGGGCCGUGGGGGGCGCGGGAACGGCUGCGGUGUCGGGGCGCGCCCGGGAGAGGGUGGGAGCGGAGGGACCGAGCCGGAGGGCUCGUACGGGCGGGCGCGGGGCCUCGGCCCGGCCUCUGCGCCGCCUCUGCCGCGGGCCCGGUUCAUUGUCCUUAUUCCCCUCAUCGAUGCCUUUUUCCCUCGUUCUCCCCCGCUCUCCUCCAGGCUCACUGGAAGGUCCGGAAGUGCCGCCCCCGGGAGCCGCCGGCGCCAGCCCUGUCCUUGCUACGAAGGGAAUUCUGAGUCACACAUCUGUCUGGCAAGUGUUUUCAUUUCAGUAUUCAAAGAUGAUGUUGUGA
This is a long non-coding RNA of Junco hyemalis (dark-eyed junco), 433 nucleotides long. NCBI's taxonomy places the organism in Eukaryota, Metazoa, Chordata, Aves, Passeriformes, Passerellidae. The record is from Ensembl.